GCCGGGAUGGCGGAAUGGCAGACGCUCCGGUCUCAAAAACCGGUGUCCGAAAGGGCGUGAGGGUUCGAAUCCCUCUCCCGGCA
RNAcentral lists this transfer RNA (83 nucleotides) under Actinomycetota bacterium. Its description in RNAcentral is "tRNA-Leu". It matches the Rfam family "tRNA". Rfam says of the family: Transfer RNA (tRNA) molecules are approximately 80 nucleotides in length. Lineage: Bacteria; Bacillati; Actinomycetota. The record is from RNAcentral.